This 253-nucleotide ribosomal RNA is filed under the name uncultured bacterium. Its description in RNAcentral is "partial 16S ribosomal RNA". It matches the Rfam family "Bacterial small subunit ribosomal RNA", at positions 524 to 776 of the family's 1533-position model. The record is from RNAcentral.
UACGUAGGGUCCGAGCGUUGUCCGGAAUUAUUGGGCGUAAAGGGCUCGUAGGCGGUUCGUCACGUCGGGAGUGAAAACUCGGGGCUUAACCCCGAGCCUGCUUCCGAUACGGGCAGACUAGAGGUAGGCAGGGGAGAGCGGAACUCCUGGUGUAGCGGUGGAAUGCGCAGAUAUCAGGAAGAACACCGGUGGCGAAGGCGGGUCUCUGGGCCGUAACUGACGCUGAGGAGCGAAAGCAUGGGGAGCGAACAGG